RNAcentral lists this ribosomal RNA (254 nucleotides) under uncultured bacterium. RNAcentral describes it as "partial 16S ribosomal RNA". It matches the Rfam family "Bacterial small subunit ribosomal RNA", at positions 524 to 776 of the family's 1533-position model. The record is from RNAcentral.
UACGUAGGGUCCAAGCGUUGUCCGGAUUUAUUGGGCGUAAAGAGCUCGUAGGCGGUUCGGUAAGUCGGAUGUGAAAACUCGGGGCUCAACCCCGAGACGCCAUCCGAUACUGCUGUGACUUGAGUCUGGUAGGGGAACACGGAAUUCCUGGUGUAGCGGUGAAAUGCGCAGAUAUCAGGAGGAACACCGAUGGCGAAGGCAGUGUUCUGGGCCAGUACUGACGCUGAGGAGCGAAAGCGUGGGUAGCAAACAGG